This 33-nucleotide transfer RNA is filed under the name Betiscoides sp. B11_ko_09. Its description in RNAcentral is "tRNA-Leu". The record is from RNAcentral. Lineage: Eukaryota; Metazoa; Arthropoda; Insecta; Orthoptera; Lentulidae.
AUUCAUUUAUGUAGAUUAUUUCUACAAAUAGUA